This 447-nucleotide ribosomal RNA is filed under the name uncultured bacterium. RNAcentral's name for it is "partial 16S ribosomal RNA". It matches the Rfam family "Bacterial small subunit ribosomal RNA", at positions 30 to 523 of the family's 1533-position model. The record is from RNAcentral.
AUUGAACGCUAGCGGGAUGCCUUACACAUGCAAGUCGAACGCCCCGCAAGGGGAGUGGCAGACGGGUGAGUAACACGUGGGAACGUACCCUUUGGUUCGGAAUAACUUGGGGAAACUCAAGCUAAUACCGGAUAAGCCCUUAUGGGGAAAGGUUUACUGCCGAAGGAUCGGCCCGCGUCUGAUUAGCUAGUUGGUGAGGUAAUGGCUCACCAAGGCGACGAUCAGUAGCUGGUCUGAGAGGAUGAUCAGCCACACUGGGACUGAGACACGGCCCAGACUCCUACGGGAGGCAGCAGUGGGGAAUAUUGGACAAUGGGGGCAACCCUGAUCCAGCCAUGCCGCGUGAGUGAUGAAGGCCUUAGGGUUGUAAAGCUCUUUUACCCGGGACGAUAAUGACUGUACCGGGAGAAUAAGCCCCGGCUAACUUCGUGCCAGCAGCCGCCGUAA